GGGGCGGCCGCCAGCUCCUCCCGCAGGGCUCCGGGCCGCCCCUCGCCCCAGGGUCGCCCGCUCCUAGUGUGGCCCAGGCUUCCCGGCCUGCCCCUCCCAGCCCUAGGAAGACGUCCCCCGGACCCCCUCAGCCCUCCGCCUCCCCUUCUCUCCCUUUCUCCCCGCUCCUGGCAGGCUGCAGCCGUCUCCUCCCGGUGCUCGCUCCUUCCUUGAGCUCUGUCCCCCGCUGCCCACUGGGGGCUAGAGCUUCCCGGCUACCCUGGAAGCUGGAGGCUGGGACCAGCUCUUCAGGUGACAGGCCUCUGUGUCUCCACAGUGGCCAGAUGGGAGCCUGCCUGACUGAUGAGCAAGGCUCCAGUUUGUCACCAAGGCAGAGAAGGGGCCCGGGGUCUUCUCUGGCCCAGCCUUUGACUGAAGCUGGUCUGGAGACAGGAGAGUUAGAGAAGUGACUCAUAGAUGGCCUAAAGAAGCGGGGCCACUCAAGGACUCAGGACAGAGGGCCAAUCCAGCUGGACCGCAGGCAAACCCCAUGGCCUUUGAGAGAAGAGAGAAGAGGACCCGGUGAAGUAGGCUCCGAGGGCCUCAGCCCAGCAGGAGUGCAGGGAGCUGCACCAGGAACUCACAGAGGAUCAGGGAGAAUUCUGAGAACAUGCUACUGUGGUGCUGCCUAGAGAGGAAGGAUAAAUGAUGACAAGUACAUCUCUGAGUAACGUAUGGGCACUUGUUCAUGAAAACUGUUUUUCUGAAAGCUUGUGAAGGUCUUCAAAUACUCGCUAUCAGUUGAGGACAAACAUUUACACCCUCCUUCCACAGGGAGUUCAAGCAGGCUGGAUGGGUCCAUCUAUGGAUGAUCUUCCCCAGCCCCUUCCUCUUCCCAGCUCAUCCCUGGCUCUCUGUAUGAACAGUUCUCAUCAGUGGAAUGUGGUUGAUGAAGUGAGGUCUUCAAUUUUCUCAUCUACUGUGUGGUCAUGUUAUUUUCCUCAUCUGAGGCUUAAAAACUCACCUGCAUGCAGCACAUGACAGCUUAAAAUCUCUUGUGAACAAAACAGUAACAAAGACACCCACCAGGGUUGAGCAUCCCGUGUUGAUGACAGCGACCACCAGGGGUCAAUGUCCUCUUCACAAUCCUGUGUCAGAGCAUCACUUGACUGAUUUCAUUAGCAACUUCCCAGGAGAAUCAGCUUACAAAAUACUUGUCCCAUUUUCCAUGCAGAUGUAACCCAUCUAUUUUACUGAAGAAAUGGGAAGAGCUGAAUGCUGAAUACACUGAAUGUCUGCAGGUUGUGCAAGUUUGUGACUUUAUCACCUUCUAAUUUCUGAUCUGUGUGAACCACUCUACAGAUUUUUCUCACUGGUGUGAGAAAAAUCAGCCCUCUGGAUGUCAAAUAUAAUAGACUUUCAAUAAUAUAAAAGUCAACACAAGCUCCUCA
Molecule: long non-coding RNA, 1430 nt
Organism: Pan troglodytes (chimpanzee)
Lineage: Eukaryota; Metazoa; Chordata; Mammalia; Primates; Hominidae
Exons: 3
Source: RefSeq, a predicted model, not a curated record